This is a long non-coding RNA of Sinocyclocheilus rhinocerous, 113 nucleotides long. RefSeq lists it as uncharacterized. The transcript has 3 exons. Lineage: Eukaryota; Metazoa; Chordata; Actinopteri; Cypriniformes; Cyprinidae. The record is from RefSeq and is a predicted model, not a curated record.
ACCAUAUUGAGCUUGUUGGAACAAUGGGAAGUUUUUUAAGUUGUAACAGAAGAAAGAAGAAACCUGAAAACACUGAUAAUGACAAUCAGAGAGAAACAGCAGCAGACACAAAG